UUUAAAGUUUAGCAAAUUUAUUUCUAAACAUCAGUAACAAAAAAUUAGAUAAAUGCAAUUUCGCAAGGAUGCCUUUUGCCACAUAUUAAAAUUAUUUUAAAUAAAUACAUUUAACAAAAGAUAUAUAAGGACUUCAGAAAAAUUAUACAAACUUUGCAGAAUUAAAGUAGGCAUAAAUAAGCAGAGAGAUAUGCACUGCUUUUGGACUUGAAAACUCAGUAACACAAAGAUGUCAGUUCUCCCCAACUUGACCUACACAUUUAAUGCAAUGCUGAUCAAAAUGCUAUUGUGUGUGUGCAUGAGUAUGUGUGUAAACAGACUGUAAAAAAUCUGACUCUAAAAUUCACACAGAUAAGUCAAGAUGUUAUCUGAAGAAGACCUUAGCUUGUGACAGCAUUAUGCCAGUUACUAAGAACGAUCCUCAUGGUACAGUAAUUAAGACAUCAUGGUUAUCAGCACAAAAGUAGACAGACAGGGUGGAGCAGAAUGAGAAGUCCAGAAACAAACUCACACAGGUGAACGCAUGGAAUCUGAACAAAGUGCACCCUGGAUCAGUGGGGAAAGAUGAACUUUCAGUAAAUGGUGUUAGGGCAGCUAGUUAUGUCAACCAGAAAACCACCUCACACCAUACAGCCACACCAACCCCAAGUAGAUUAAAAAUCUACAGAAGAAAGGUCCAGGCCAGGCGCCGUGGCUCACACCUAGAAUCCCAGCUCUCUGGGAGGCUAAGGCAGGCAGAUUGCUUGUGCCCAGGAGUUCAAGACCAACCUAGACAACAUGGCGAACCCCCGUCUCUACAAAAACUACAAAAAUUAGCCAGGCAUGGUGGUGCAAUGCCUGUGGUCCCAGCUACUUGGGUGGCUGAGGUGGGAGAAUUGGUUGAGCCCAGGAAUUUAAGGCUGCAGUGAGCCAUAAUCGCGCCACUGCACUCCAACCUGGGUGACAGAGCGAUACCCUCUCAUUCAUUCAUUCAUUAAUAGAAAGGUAUAACUACAGAAGUCUUAGAAGUUAGUAUCAUGAGGUCAGGGCGGGGAAGGAAUUUUUAAGCAAGGCACAAAAAGCACAAACCUUUAGAAAAAUAAAUAAAAGUUCACUGCAUUGGAAUUAAAAACUCCUGUCCCAAAAGACACCAUUAAAGAAAGUGAAAGACAAGCCUCACACUGACCGAAAAUACAGGCAAUACAUAGAAUUGACAAGGAUACACAGAUAAUGCCUACAAAAUCAGCGAGAAGGACAAGGGACUUGGAAAGGCCUGUGACAGGAAAGGAACAGGUGUGGCCAAUACACAGAGGGGGCUCAACCCAUUCCCAGUCGGGACAUUAAAUCCAAGAAACGCCUCUGCUGACCCGUCCACCUGGUGCCCGGGCCGCAGGCCAUGUGCCCAUAGGCCAUGUGCCCACAGGGUGUGUGCCCGCAGGCUGUGUGCCCGCAGGAGGAAUGCAAACCCUCACCUCUUGGAAUCCCCUCGCAGUGGGACAGCCCACCCAGGCUCAGCCAGCCCUCCAUUCUCUGCAGCAGAACGCUUAUUGGAGACUGCAGGGAAAAAAGCGUCAUUUUCCUCCGCUAAGGACAGUUUCUGAACAGUACCCCUGCCCUGCCCCACAGUGGAAGACUGCAGACCCAGUACCCUAUGGGCCCCCACCCGGGGGUCCUUCCUGGGCUGGUUGGGUUUGGCCUCAAGUACAUUGCGACGCUGUGAGGAGGGCCAGUUGCAACACUGUCAGUGACUGCUUGAAAACAGAAUGAACUGUCUGUCCACCCGGGGUGAUGUGAGCAGCACUUCUCACAACGGACAUGAGGUGGAAGCAGCCCAGGCAUCAGAUGAAUGGAUAAACAAAAUGACACACAAUCUCAUCUCAAAACGGGCAAAUGACUCAAAUAAACACUUCUCCACAGAAAACACACAACCAACCAAAAAGUACAUGAGAAGGUGCUCAACAUAAUAACUAGAGAAAUGCAAAUCAAACCACAAUGAGAAAUUACCUUGUACCAGGCCGGGCACAGUGGCUCACGCCUGUAAUACCAACACUUUGGGAGGCUGAGGCAGGUGAGCUUGAGCUCAGAAGUUUGAGACUAGCCUGGACACAUGGUGAAACCCCAUCUCUACUAAAAUACAAAAAUUAGCCAGGCAUGGUGGUGCACGCCUGUAAUCCCAGAUAGUCGGGAGGCUGAGGCAGGAACCUGGGAGGCAGAGGUUGCACUCAAGCCUGGGCGAUAGUGUGAGACCCAGGCUCAAAACAGUAAUAAAAAAUAAAAAUAAAAUUAAAAAAUAAAUAAAUAAAAUAAAAUAAAAAAUAAAAA
Molecule: long non-coding RNA, 2301 nt
Filed under: Macaca fascicularis (crab-eating macaque)
Lineage: Eukaryota; Metazoa; Chordata; Mammalia; Primates; Cercopithecidae
Description: lncRNA (ENSMFAG00000049407.1)
Source: RNAcentral